Molecule: non-coding RNA, 71 nt
Organism: Phrynosoma platyrhinos (Desert horned lizard)
Lineage: Eukaryota; Metazoa; Chordata; Lepidosauria; Squamata; Phrynosomatidae
Source: the annotation of a GenBank genome assembly
GCCAGUGUGGCAUAAUGGUUUGAGUGUUGGCUGCAACUCUGGAGAUCAGGGUUCAAUUCCCUGCUUAGCCA